Long non-coding RNA from Lotus japonicus, 1039 nucleotides. RefSeq lists it as uncharacterized. The record is from RefSeq and is a predicted model, not a curated record. Lineage: Eukaryota; Viridiplantae; Streptophyta; Magnoliopsida; Fabales; Fabaceae. The transcript is spliced from 4 exons.
CUCAAUUCUACCAAGGCUUCAGAGAAACUGUGAACCUUUCAGAAAAGCUCACAGAGGAUGAGUCUUCAAGCUCAUAGCCUCUACGAACUCGAGAUGAAAAAAUAUAGGCUGAAACAGAGACUUGAGAGCUUACAAGAGGCUUUCAAAAGUCCUUGUUUAGGCACCUUCAGUAGGGGAAGAUCUUGGGAAUCCAUUUUUCAAGGCUGCAGCUUGAGCGUCUUCAACCAAGGCCCUACGGAGCUCCUGAAGGGGCAUAAACAACCAAUUCUCCAUUAACUUGUCCUGCAUGCACAACUUGGCUACAAGAUGGGCUGAUUUGUUCCUCUCUCUAUUAGUCCAGACAAAGUCACACCGAUGGAACUGCACUUGCAGAUUAUGGGCCAGGGUCAAGCCUUCCCUUAUUGCAUGCGCCUCAGUUGUCAUCGCAGAGGAAGCAAAAACCUUUGUAUGAGACCCAGCAAGGAGAUUGGAGUACUAGUCUCGGAUUAUCACCCCAAUGGAGGCCUGAGAAGAAGGCUGGAGACUUCUUGCAAGGUAAACACUGGACUGGGGCGAGAAGCCUUGAAAACAGUUUCAUUUCUCCCUCUCCAUACGGACUACAGAGUGCAUGCCAGGAUGGAGAAAUCUCUUGAGAAGUCUAAAGACAGAGAUUGCAAGGCUAUAAUCUUUUGCAUCAGCCAAAUAUCAAGGGAUCCAAGGCCUCCAGAGGAGACUGCCCACUGAAGGGGAGAGCCAAACCACACCGCUCGAGUCCACUGGAAGAGGAAGAAUAGGCGGUCCACUGUCUCCCAAGCUUCAUUACGAAUAGGGCAUUGUCCCGUGGGGCAAACACAGAACCAGGAGAAACAGCGAUGAUGGCGCGACCCAACCUGGAAGAAACCGUCCACAACAGCAACAGGGCGACCCACCCAGGAGCCGGGAUUCACCCCAGGGGGAUUCUUGUAAUCUUGGUGUCCAAUUGAUUCUUCUGUCGAAGAAUCUUGGCAGAGUUGAUUCUGAAUAAUACAAUUAUUUUCUUCUUUCCUCUCUAGUUGAACAA